RNAcentral lists this microRNA precursor (106 nucleotides) under Canis lupus familiaris (dog). RNAcentral describes it as "mir-8834 microRNA precursor family". It matches the Rfam family "mir-8834 microRNA precursor family". The record is from Rfam by way of RNAcentral. Lineage: Eukaryota; Metazoa; Chordata; Mammalia; Carnivora; Canidae. RNAcentral also lists the same sequence under 1 other name.
AGGAGGAACAAUCGCAGUGGCAGCGGCCAGCCCUGGAGCCCUGGAGUCAGCUCCCGCAGUAACUACAGAGCUCUCCGUCUGCAGGGCCUGGAGGCUAUGGGGCGGG